CGCGAUGCUUCCGUCGGGCUCUCACAGGGUGAUCUGUUCCACAGAAGGCCCAGAGCUCAGUCUCUGCGUGCAGCACGCUCACCAGAGCACCAGCUCUGCUCACCAGCUGUGGCACAAACGCUCCCACCCCAGCAGUGGUUGUGACCUCAGCGAGUGCCCGCAUCGCCUCGGUGCUUUCAUCAUAAGCGAAGGAAAUGGACGCCUCCCAGCUCCACAUCUUAGGGUCACCCAAUGGGGUUAUCUGAAGAACAGGAAUGGAGAAGUGAAGACGACUCUUGUGCAGCCCAAUAAAAAACAGAAAAGACCAAUACGGCUUCACAGUGGUCAAUGGAGUCCCAGAGGAAUCACUGGAAACCAAUAGCAACGCACGCCUGGAUGUCCCGGGGCUGGUGCAGGUGGAUUUGCCACAGCCUUUCUUACAAGGACUGAGAGUGGGAUGAGAAGUGCCCUGAAGUUGCAAGUAGGCAAAAGAGCAAUGCAAAUCAAGGUAACUGUGUUGGAGACCCUGCCUGGGAGCAGAGUGACGUGAGAGCCCCACCACCUUCUGCUUAGGAGCUGUGUAGAGUCCCCAUCCCAAAUGGCGUGUUUCCUUAGCAAAACGGUUGUUCUUCUGGAAAGCCCCAGCUCCUCGCGUUACAUUACUACGUGAAGAAUCCCAGGCUGAAUUAUUUAGAACUACUUUUUUGUUAGUGGUCAAGUAAAACACGGCAACAGAGGCAGCGG
This 723-nucleotide long non-coding RNA is filed under the name Gallus gallus (chicken). RNAcentral's name for it is "lncRNA (ENSGALG00010000558.1)". Lineage: Eukaryota; Metazoa; Chordata; Aves; Galliformes; Phasianidae. The record is from RNAcentral.